AGAGUUUGAUCCUGGCUCAGAUUGAACGCUGGCGGCAGGCCUAACACAUGCAAGUCGAGCGGUAGAGAGAAGCUUGCUUCUCUUGAGAGCGGCGGACGGGUGAGUAAUGCCUAGGAAUCUGCCUGGUAGUGGGGGAUAACGUUCGGAAACGGACGCUAAUACCGCAUACGUCCUACGGGAGAAAGCAGGGGACCUUCGGGCCUUGCGCUAUCAGAUGAGCCUAGGUCGGAUUAGCUAGUUGGUGAGGUAAUGGCUCACCAAGGCGACGAUCCGUAACUGGUCUGAGAGGAUGAUCAGUCACACUGGAACUGAGACACGGUCCAGACUCCUACGGGAGGCAGCAGUGGGGAAUAUUGGACAAUGGGCGAAAGCCUGAUCCAGCCAUGCCGCGUGUGUGAAGAAGGUCUUCGGAUUGUAAAGCACUUUAAGUUGGGAGGAAGGGCAGUUACCUAAUACGUGAUUGUUUUGACGUUACCGACAGAAUAAGCACCGGCUAACUCUGUGCCAGCAGCCGCGGUAAUACAGAGGGUGCAAGCGUUAAUCGGAAUUACUGGGCGUAAAGCGCGCGUAGGUGGUUAGUUAAGUUGGAUGUGAAAUCCCCGGGCUCAACCUGGGAACUGCAUUCAAAACUGACUGACUAGAGUAUGGUAGAGGGUGGUGGAAUUUCCUGUGUAGCGGUGAAAUGCGUAGAUAUAGGAAGGAACACCAGUGGCGAAGGCGACCACCUGGACUGAUACUGACACUGAGGUGCGAAAGCGUGGGGGGCAAACAGGAUUAGAUACCCUGGUAGUCCACGCCGUAAACGAUGUCAACUAGCCGUUGGGAGCCUUGAGCUCUUAGUGGCGCAGCUAACGCAUUAAGUUGACCGCCUGGGGAGUACGGCCGCAAGGUUAAAACUCAAAUGAAUUGACGGGGGCCCGCACAAGCGGUGGAGCAUGUGGUUUAAUUCGAAGCAACGCGAAGAACCUUACCAGGCCUUGACAUCCAAUGAACUUUCUAGAGAUAGAUUGGUGCCUUCGGGAACAUUGAGACAGGUGCUGCAUGGCUGUCGUCAGCUCGUGUCGUGAGAUGUUGGGUUAAGUCCCGUAACGAGCGCAACCCUUGUCCUUAGUUACCAGCACGCUAUGGUGGGCACUCUAAGGAGACUGCCGGUGACAAACCGGAGGAAGGUGGGGAUGACGUCAAGUCAUCAUGGCCCUUACGGCCUGGGCUACACACGUGCUACAAUGGUCGGUACAGAGGGUUGCCAAGCCGCGAGGUGGAGCUAAUCCCACAAAACCGAUCGUAGUCCGGAUCGCAGUCUGCAACUCGACUGCGUGAAGUCGGAAUCGCUAGUAAUCGCGAAUCAGAAUGUCGCGGUGAAUACGUUCCCGGGCCUUGUACACACCGCCCGUCACACCAUGGGAGUGGGUUGCACCAGAAGUAGCUAGUCUAACCUUCGGGGGGACGGUUACCACGGUGUGAUUCAUGACUGGGGUGGAGUCGUAACAAGGUAGCCGUAGGGGAACCUGCGGCUGGAUCACCUCCUU
Molecule: ribosomal RNA, 1529 nt
Filed under: uncultured bacterium
Lineage: Bacteria
Description: SSU rRNA
Rfam family: Bacterial small subunit ribosomal RNA
Source: RNAcentral